RNAcentral lists this ribosomal RNA (253 nucleotides) under uncultured bacterium. RNAcentral's name for it is "partial 16S ribosomal RNA". It matches the Rfam family "Bacterial small subunit ribosomal RNA", at positions 524 to 776 of the family's 1533-position model. The record is from RNAcentral.
UACGUAGGGGGCUAGCGUUGUCCGGAAUCAUUGGGCGUAAAGCGCGUGUAGGCGGUCCGGUAAGUCCGCUGUGAAAGUCGGGGGCUCAACCCUGGGAUGCCGGUGGAUACUGUCGGGCUCGAGUCCGGAAGAGGCGAGUGGAAUUCCUGGUGUAGCGGUGAAAUGCGCAGAUAUCAGGAGGAACACCGGUGGCGAAGGCGGGUCUCUGGGCCGAUACUGACGCUGAGGAGCGAAAGCGUGGGGAGCGAACAGG